ACUCCUACGGGAGGCAGCAGUGGGGAAUAUUGGACAAUGGGCGCAAGCCUGAUCCAGCCAUGCCGCGUGAGUGAUGAAGGCCCUAGGGUUGUAAAGCUCUUUCACCGGUGAAGAUAAUGACGGUAACCGGAGAAGAAGCCCCGGCUAACUUCGUGCCAGCAGCCGCGGUAAUACGAAGGGGGCUAGCGUUGUUCGGAUUUACUGGGCGUAAAGCGCACGUAGGCGGACUAUUAAGUCAGGGGUGAAAUCCCGGGGCUCAACCCCGGAACUGCCUUUGAUACUGGUAGUCUUGAGUUCGAGAGAGGUGAGUGGAAUUCCGAGUGUAGAGGUGAAAUUCGUAGAUAUUCGGAGGAACACCAGUGGCGAAGGCGGCUCACUGGCUCGAUACUGACGCUGAGGUGCGAAAGCGUGGGGAGCAAACAGGAUUAGAAACCCCAGUAGUCCCAUGAU
This 450-nucleotide ribosomal RNA is filed under the name uncultured organism. RNAcentral's name for it is "partial 16S ribosomal RNA". It matches the Rfam family "Bacterial small subunit ribosomal RNA", at positions 335 to 801 of the family's 1533-position model. The record is from RNAcentral.